This 228-nucleotide unclassified non-coding RNA is filed under the name Hevea brasiliensis (rubber tree). Lineage: Eukaryota; Viridiplantae; Streptophyta; Magnoliopsida; Malpighiales; Euphorbiaceae. The record is from RNAcentral.
AUGUACUCUAAAUUUUUCUUUAUAUUAAUUUUUAUUAUAUUUUAUAAUUUUAAUUUAUAUUAUAUGUACCCCACUUUGAAAAUUUUAUGGAUCUGCUACUGUUGGACAGGCAGCUUGGAAAAAUAAAUACAAAAUAAAAAAGAAAUGGAAAAACUAAAAGCAAUGACAAAUUGGGCCUGAAUGCCCACUUGACAUCUGCCUUACUUAUUAUGUUACCGCCAAAUAUGG